UUAACGCUGAGGUGUGAUGACGAGGCACUACGGUGCUGAAGUGAUAAAUGCCCUGCUUCCAGGAAAAGCCUCUAAGCAUCAGGUAACACGAAAUCGUACCCCAAACCGACACAGGUGGUCAGGUAGAGAAUACCAAGGCGCUUGAGAGAACUCGGGUGAAGGAACUAGGCAAAAUGGUGCCGUAACUUCGGGAGAAGGCACGCUGAUAUGUAGGUGAAGUCCCUGCGGACGGAGCUGAAAUCAGUCGAAGAUACCAGCUGGCUGCAACUGUUUAUUAAAAACACAGCACUGUGCAAACACGAAAGUGGACGUAUACGGUGUGACGCCUGCCCGGUGCCGGAAGGUUAAUUGAUGGGGUUAGCGGCAACGCGAAGCUCUUGAUCGAAGCCCCGGUAAACGGCGGCCGUAACUAUAACGGUCCUAAGGUAGCGAAAUUCCUUGUCGGGUAAGUUCCGACCUGCACGAAUGGCGUAAUGAUGGCCAGGCUGUCUCCACCCGAGACUCAGUGAAAUUGAACUCGCUGUGAAGAUGCAGUGUACCCGCGGCAAGACGGAAAGACCCCGUGAACCUUUACUAUAGCUUGACACUGAACACUGGUCCUUGAUGUGUAGGAUAGGUGGGAGGCUUUGAAGCGUGGACGCCAGUCUGCGUGGAGCCAACCUUGAAAUACCACCCUUUAAUGGCUGGUGUUCUAACGUAGACCCGUAAUCCGGGUUGCGGACAGUGUCUGGUGGGUAGUUUGACUGGGGCGGUCUCCUCCCAAAGAGUAACGGAGGAGCACGAAGGUUGGCUAAUCCUGGUCGGACAUCAGGAGGUUAGUGCAAUGGCAUAAGCCAGCUUGACUGCGAGCGUGACGGCGCGAGCAGGUGCGAAAGCAGGUCAUAGUGAUCCGGUGGUUCUGAAUGGAAGGGCCAUCGCUCAACGGAUAAAAGGUACUCCGGGGAUAACAGGCUGAUACCGCCCAAGAGUUCAUAUCGACGGCGGUGUUUGGCACCUCGAUGUCGGCUCAUCACAUCCUGGGGCUGAAGUAGGUCCCAAGGGUAUGGCUGUUCGCCAUUUAAAGUGGUACGCGAGCUGGGUUUAGAACGUCGUGAGACAGUUCGGUCCCUAUCUGCCGUGGGCGCUGGAGAAUUGAGGGGGGCUGCUCCUAGUACGAGAGGACCGGAGUGGACGCAUCACUGGUGUUCGGGUUGUCAUGCCAAUGGCACUGCCCGGUAGCUAAAUGCGGAAAAGAUAAGUGCUGAAAGCAUCUAAGCACGAAACUUGCCCCGAGAUGAGUUCUCCCUGAGACUUUAAGUCUCCUGAAGGAACGUUGAAGACGACGACGUUGAUAGGUCGGGUGUGUAAGCGCAGCGAUGCGUUGAGCUAACCGAUACUAAUGAACCGUGAGGCUUAACCUU
This 1400-nucleotide ribosomal RNA is filed under the name Enterobacter hormaechei. RNAcentral's name for it is "partial 23S ribosomal RNA". It matches the Rfam family "Bacterial large subunit ribosomal RNA", at positions 1550 to 2925 of the family's 2925-position model. Lineage: Bacteria; Pseudomonadati; Pseudomonadota; Gammaproteobacteria; Enterobacterales; Enterobacteriaceae. The record is from RNAcentral.